This 206-nucleotide ribosomal RNA is filed under the name uncultured Eubacteriales bacterium. RNAcentral describes it as "uncultured Clostridiales bacterium partial 16S ribosomal RNA". It matches the Rfam family "Bacterial small subunit ribosomal RNA", at positions 568 to 775 of the family's 1533-position model. Lineage: Bacteria; Bacillati; Bacillota; Clostridia; Eubacteriales. The record is from RNAcentral.
UGAGUAGGCGGUUGUAUAUGUCAGGUGUAAAGGCUAUGGCUUAACCAUGGUUAGCACUUGAAACUGUACAACUUGAGUGCAGGAGAGGUAAGUGGAAUUCCUAGUGUAGCGGUGAAAUGCGUAGAUAUUAGGAGGAACACCAGUGGCGAAGGCGACUUACUGGACUGUAACUGACGCUGAGUCACGAAAGCGUGGGUAGCAAACAG